This 83-nucleotide transfer RNA is filed under the name Kumanoa mahlacensis. RNAcentral describes it as "tRNA-Tyr". It matches the Rfam family "tRNA". Rfam says of the family: Transfer RNA (tRNA) molecules are approximately 80 nucleotides in length. Their secondary structure includes four short double-helical elements and three loops (D, anti-codon, and T loops). Further hydrogen bonds mediate the characteristic L-shaped molecular structure. tRNAs have two regions of fundamental functional importance: the anti-codon, which is responsible for specific mRNA codon recognition, and the 3' end, to which the tRNAs corresponding amino acid is attached (by aminoacyl-tRNA synthetases). tRNAs cope with the degeneracy of the genetic code in two manners: having more than one tRNA (with a specific anti-codon) for a particular amino acid; and 'wobble' base-pairing, i.e. permitting non-standard base-pairing at the 3rd anti-codon position. The record is from RNAcentral. Lineage: Eukaryota; Rhodophyta; Florideophyceae; Batrachospermales; Batrachospermaceae.
GAAGAGAUGGCUGAGCGGUUCAAGGCGAUAGACUGUAAAUCUAUUGGUUAAAACUUCCGUAGGUUCGAAUCCUACUCUCUUCA